RNAcentral lists this ribosomal RNA (63 nucleotides) under Trichoderma harzianum. RNAcentral describes it as "partial 18S ribosomal RNA". It matches the Rfam family "Eukaryotic small subunit ribosomal RNA", at positions 1768 to 1830 of the family's 1831-position model. Lineage: Eukaryota; Fungi; Ascomycota; Sordariomycetes; Hypocreales; Hypocreaceae. The record is from RNAcentral. RNAcentral also lists the same sequence under 2 other names.
GUCAUUUAGAGGAAGUAAAAGUCGUAACAAGGUCUCCGUUGGUGAACCAGCGGAGGGAUCAUU